This 269-nucleotide signal recognition particle RNA is filed under the name Clostridiaceae bacterium. RNAcentral describes it as "signal recognition particle sRNA large type". It matches the Rfam family "Bacterial large signal recognition particle RNA". From Rfam's summary of the family: The signal recognition particle (SRP) is a universally conserved ribonucleoprotein involved in the co-translational targeting of proteins to membranes. Archaeal SRP consists of a 7S RNA and homologues of the eukaryotic SRP19 and SRP54 proteins. The record is from RNAcentral. RNAcentral also lists the same sequence under 1 other name. Lineage: Bacteria; Bacillati; Bacillota; Clostridia; Eubacteriales; Clostridiaceae.
UCGUGCUAGACGGGAAGUUAGCGGUGUCCUGUAACCUGCAAUCCGCUAUAGCAGGGUUGAAUUCCAUGCCCGAGGUUUUUGGGAGAGUGUGGUCUUGCUGUAUGCAGCCGGACGUUGAGAACCGGCCCUUGCGCAAUAGAGGCUUGUGAACCCCGUCAGGUCCGGAAGGAAGCAGCGGUAAGCAAUGUCCGAUAUGUGCCGUAAGGCAACCCGGUUUGAGUUCGGAGCAUUACAUGCGUACAUUCUACGGAUCGGAGGCUGGUGCACGA